UAAUAAUAAUAAUAAUAAUAAUAAUAAUAAUGUUAUAUUUUUCUUUUUGGGCUCCUUAAUUUCUAUUUCUUCUCUUUUUUUGUAUAUUUAAAUCUAUUCUGUGUCACCUUUGUCCAGCAGGAUUCAAUUCCAGCAGCUUGAAAACUGGCUUAAAAAUUAAAGACAUUGUUUUGAGGGAUAAAAUAAUUCCUUUAAAGCCCCAUUUGCACCCUUUCCAGGCAGAUUUUUCCCUCUUUCCAGGCAGACUUUUCCCCCUUUUUAGGAAAUUUUUCCCCCUUUCCAGGCAGAUUUUUCCCUCUUUCCAAGCAAUUUUUUCCCAUUUCCAGGCAAAAUUUUUCCCCCAAAUCCCAGUGAUGCCCCCNAAUCUGUGAGGUGAAAAUUUUAAAAAUGGAAACUUGUGAGGUGGGAAUUGGGAAAAGGAGGGCCUGGGAGGUGGAAAUUGGAAAAAAAAUGUAAUCUGUGAGGUGAAAAUUUAAAAAUGGAAGCUUGUGAGGUAGAAAUUGGGAAAAGAUUGGGAAAAGGGGAACUUGUGAGGUGGAAAUUGGAAAAAGAGGAGCCUGUGAGGUGAAAAUUGGAAAAAAGGGGAUCUGUGAGGGGAAAAUUUUAAAAAUGGAAGCAUUUGAGGUGUGAAUUGGGAAAAGGAGGGCCUGGGAGGUGAAAAUUGGAAAAAAGGGGAAUCUGUGAGGGGAAAAUUUUAAAAAUGGAAGCCUGUGAGGUGGAAGUUGGGAAAAAAUUGGGAAAAGGGGAACUUGUGAGGUGGAAAUUGGAAAAGUGGGAACUUGAGGGGUGGAAAUUGGAAAAAGAGGAGCCUGUGAGGUGAAAAUUGGAAAAAGGGGAAUCUGUGAGGGGAAAAUUUUAAAAAUGGAAGCCUGUGAGGUGUGAAUUGGGAAAAGGAGGGCCUGGGAGGUGGAAAUUGGAAAAAAGUGCAAUCUGUGAGGUAAAAAUUUAAAAAAAAAUGGAAACCUGUGAGGUGGAAAUUGAAAAAAGGGGGAAUCUGUGAGGGGAAAAUUUUAAAAAUGGAGGCUUUUGAGGUGUGAAUUGGGAAAAGAUUGGAAAAGGGGAACUUGUGAGGUGGAAAUUGGAAAAGGGGGCAAACUUGAGAGGUGGAAAUUGGAAAAAGAGGAGCCUGUGAGGUGGAAAUUGGAAAAAAGGGGAAUCUGUGAGGGGAAAAUUUUAAAAAUGGAAGCAUUUGAGGUGUGAAUUGGGAAAAGGAAGGCCUGGGAGGUGGAAAUUGGAAAAAAAUGCAAUCUGUGAGGUAAAAAUUUAAAAAAUGAAAGCUUGUGAGGAGGAAAUUGGGAAAAGGGGAACUUGUGAGGUGGAAAUUGAAAAAAGGGGGAAUCUGUGAGGGGAAAAUUUUAAAAAUGGAGGCUU
This 1371-nucleotide long non-coding RNA is filed under the name Zonotrichia albicollis (white-throated sparrow). RNAcentral describes it as "lncRNA (ENSZALG00000000603.1)". The record is from RNAcentral. Lineage: Eukaryota; Metazoa; Chordata; Aves; Passeriformes; Passerellidae.